Molecule: ribosomal RNA, 253 nt
Filed under: uncultured bacterium
Lineage: Bacteria
Description: partial 16S ribosomal RNA
Rfam family: Bacterial small subunit ribosomal RNA
Source: RNAcentral
UACGAAGGGGGCUAGCGUUGUUCGGAAUUACUGGGCGUAAAGGGCGCGUAGGCGGCUGUGCAAGUCAGAUGUGAAAGCCCUGGGCUCAAACCAGGAUGUGCAUUUGAUACUGCGCGGCUAGAGUGUCGGAGAGGAUGGUGGAAUUCCCAGUGUAGAGGUGAAAUUCGUAGAUAUUGGGAAGAACACCGGUGGCGAAGGCGACCAUCUGGACGACAACUGACGCUGAGGCGCGAAAGCGUGGGGAGCAAACAGG